This 950-nucleotide ribosomal RNA is filed under the name human vaginal metagenome. RNAcentral's name for it is "bacterial SSU rRNA". It matches the Rfam family "Bacterial small subunit ribosomal RNA", at positions 8 to 942 of the family's 1533-position model. The record is from RNAcentral.
AGAGUUUGAUCCUGGCUCAGGACGAACGCUGGCGGCGUGCCUAAUACAUGCAAGUAGAACGCUGAAGGAGGAGCUUGCUUCUCCGGAUGAGUUGCGAACGGGUGAGUAACGCGUAGGUAACCUGCCUGGUAGCGGGGGAUAACUAUUGGAAACGAUAGCUAAUACCGCAUAACAGUAGAUAUCGCAUGAUAUCUGCUUGAAAGGUGCAAUUGCAUCACUACCAGAUGGACCUGCGUUGUAUUAGCUAGUUGGUGAGGUAACGGCUCACCAAGGCGACGAUACAUAGCCGACCUGAGAGGGUGAUCGGCCACACUGGGACUGAGACACGGCCCAGACUCCUACGGGAGGCAGCAGUAGGGAAUCUUCGGCAAUGGACGGAAGUCUGACCGAGCAACGCCGCGUGAGUGAAGAAGGUUUUCGGAUCGUAAAGCUCUGUUGUAAGAGAAGAACGAGUGUGAGAGUGGAAAGUUCACACUGUGACGGUAUCUUACCAGAAAGGGACGGCUAACUACGUGCCAGCAGCCGCGGUAAUACGUAGGUCCCGAGCGUUGUCCGGAUUUAUUGGGCGUAAAGCGAGCGCAGGCGGUUUGAUAAGUCUGAAGUUAAAGGCUGUGGCUCAACCAUAGUUCGCUUUGGAAACUGUCAAACUUGAGUGCAGAAGGGGAGAGUGGAAUUCCAUGUGUAGCGGUGAAAUGCGUAGAUAUAUGGAGGAACACCGGUGGCGAAAGCGGCUCUCUGGUCUGUAACUGACGCUGAGGCUCGAAAGCGUGGGGAGCGAACAGGAUUAGAUACCCUGGUAGUCCACGCCGUAAACGAUGAGUGCUAGGUGUUAGGUCCUUUCCGGGACUUAGUGCCGCAGCUAACGCAUUAAGCACUCCGCCUGGGGAGUACGACCGCAAGGUUGAAACUCAAAGGAAUUGACGGGGGCCCGCACAAGCGGUGGAGCAUGU